UGGUCCCAACCUUUCUGCAAACACC
This 25-nucleotide non-coding RNA is filed under the name Mus musculus (house mouse). Lineage: Eukaryota; Metazoa; Chordata; Mammalia; Rodentia; Muridae. The record is from RNAcentral.